UGAAAAUAGGCUACAAAGUUCUUGGUAAACAUUAAUGCAAAACUCAACAGAGUAACCUGAAAUCAAAUGUGUGGCUAUACAAGCAUUUAUUCAUGUUUGAACUGUUUUUUUUACAUUUUUGCUUGAGUUAUGAACAUUAUAAAUUGAAGUACAA
RNAcentral lists this long non-coding RNA (154 nucleotides) under Amphimedon queenslandica. RNAcentral describes it as "uncharacterized LOC109593297". Lineage: Eukaryota; Metazoa; Porifera; Demospongiae; Haplosclerida; Niphatidae. The record is from RNAcentral.